RNAcentral lists this ribosomal RNA (1491 nucleotides) under Triticum aestivum (bread wheat). Its description in RNAcentral is "partial small subunit ribosomal RNA". The record is from RNAcentral. Lineage: Eukaryota; Viridiplantae; Streptophyta; Magnoliopsida; Poales; Poaceae.
AUGAACGAGAAGCUGCUCCACGGGCAUGACCUACACGAGAUGGAUGCGCUCUACCGCCGCUUGCUGAACCGCACCCACCACACCCGCCCCGACCCGCCCGUCUCCGCCGCCGCUCGCCUCUCCGCCCUCCCCCCCGACGACGUCGUCGACCGCGUCAGCCGCCUUCCCGACACGGUCCUCCGCCACAUCGUCUCCCUCCUGCCCGUCAAGGACGCCGCGCGCAGCGCCGCGCUCUCCCACCGCUGGCGCGGGGUCUGGCGCUCCGCCCCGCUCGUCCUCGUCGACGCCGAUCUCGCCCCCGCCACCUCCGCCCUGUCCCGCGCCGAUCUCGCCCCCGCCACCUCCGCCCUGUCCCGCGUGCUCGAGGCGCACCCGGGGCCCUUCCGCUGCGUCCACCUGAUCAAGAGCUGCAGGGAGGAGUUCCAUUGCCUGCUCACGCGCUGGAUCGAGCUUCUCGCCACCAAGGGCAUACAGGAACUCGUCAUCCUCGACCAAUGGGAUCCUCCGUUCAACGCCGUCCUCCCCUCCACCUUCUUCGGCAUGGCCAUCCUCACCCGGCUCCACCUCGGCUCCUGGAAGUUCUCGGACACGGCCGGCCUCCCGCGCUCCGCCUCUUUCCCCAAACUCCGUGAGCUCGGGCUCUGCAACAUCCUUGUAGAGAGUAGGGAUUUGGACUUCAUCCUCGACAGGAGCCCCGUGCUGGAGACGCUCAGUGACGAAGGUAAUUUUUUCACGCUCCGGCUCCGCCUUGUCAGCCAAAGCCUCUGGUGCGUGCAGAUCAUCGGAUCCUUCUUCGAAGAAAUCUUCGUGGUGAACGCCCCACGCCUUGAGCGGCUCAUCAAUCUGGAAGGCUGGACCCAUGAUAGCAGUCGCACCAAGGUGAAGAUUGGCCAUGCCCCCAAGCUGUUGUUGGCUUACUUGGAGUUGGACCCACGAAAUCAGGUCCUAGAGGUCGGCAACACCAUCAUCAAGGUUGGGACAAGGGUGAGCCCAAGAACCAUGGUACCAAGUGUGAGAAUCCUGGCGUUGGAAGUGCGUUUCGGAGUACGCAACGAUGCCAAGAUGAUUCCCAAUGUCCUCAGAUGCUUUCCUAAUGUUGAGACGCUCCACAUCAAGUCUGGAAAGCCUGAUCAAUCCACUGGCAAGCUCAACCUAAAGUUCUGGCAUGAGUCUGGUACCAUAGAAUGCAUCCGGUCACGCAUCAAGCUGCUGGUUUUCCAUGAUUUCCUAGGGGGUCGAAGUGAGCUCGCCUUCCUCAAAUAUUUCUUUGAGAGUGCAUUGGUACUGAAGGAGGUGUCGAUUCGGUUGUCCGCUGGCUUCACUUCGGCGGAGGAGGUGCAUUCCAAAGUGGCGAGUCUGCGGUCCAGGAAACGGGCCAGUGAAACCCCCAUAGUGCGGGUCACUGGCUGGUCUGAACCUCAAGGAGGUUUCAUCCAGAGCUUCAAGAGAGGAUCUGAUUUCUCUCUUCAGGGUCCUUUUGCAAACUACUGA